This 1199-nucleotide long non-coding RNA is filed under the name Ananas comosus (pineapple). RNAcentral describes it as "long non-coding RNA (ACOM_LNC016762)". Lineage: Eukaryota; Viridiplantae; Streptophyta; Magnoliopsida; Poales; Bromeliaceae. The record is from RNAcentral.
GUAUGCAAAGGAAAGUAACGAGAGAGAGAGGCAGAGGUUAACCGAAAAAAGACUAAGUACUCCACUACUUAGAAAAAGAGGAUUACAGCAUAUAUACACACUCUCUCUUGUGUGUCUUCGCCUUAGCCAAACCCCACUAUUUGUAGGCCUAUGGAUACAAUGAACCUAACCACACAACUCACCGACUAGCCUACUUAUAAUGAGCCAUCAUAAUAGCCAAAAGCCCAAGAGUCACACCAUAACUCCUAAUAGUUUUGCAACCUUUGAGUUUCCCACAGCGGGUCAGAUUCAGGCCGCGUUCUUGACAACCCGGUUCAACUCGUUUUUACUAGCAGAGUUGGGCCAGGGACCGGGCUGCGCAGAAUUUUUCUAAAUCCUUGACACCACGCUAACAUGGCGCCUCCGUUGCACUGAUAUGACGCCUCCGUAGCGCUGACAUGGUGAUUCCAUUAAUUUUAACACUUUUUUAACGGCUGAGACUUAAUUGUAAUGAAAUCAAGAGAUCAGGAAUUUGAUUGCCAAAAAAAAAGAUUGGGGACCAAAUUGAAAAACUGUGCAAAGGUUGGGACCAAUAUGUAAUUAACCCAUGCAACACCUUUAUCUUUUCUCUUUUUAAUCCUUUUAGCUACUUUUUAAAUAAAAGGGCAAUUACUUAUAGAUAUUUCUGAAAAGUUUUCGACUUUCUUUUUAUUCCUCUUAAUAGGUUAAUAAGAUUUUUUUUUUUUUUACAUUUCAAGUUAUUUCAAAUAUACUCGUAGAAUUAAAUUCUGUUAGUGAACUGCUAGCAAUAACUAUUAUUUUUGUAGAAUUAUAAUUUUGCCCUUUUAAAUAUAUUCUUCUACCAUUAUCAACUUUUCAUAUUUGCCUUUAAGUUAGGGGUAAAAGAAUUAUUUUGAUUUUUGAUCUUUUCAAAUAUAUAUCACUUUACCAUGAGCAACUUUUCUUAUUUACUUUUAAAUUAAGGGCAAAAUAGGUACUUUGAUUUUUUUUUUAACUCUCAUAGACAUUUAUUUCGCGUUUAACCUGAGAUAAUUUAACGAAUGAUAAAUGUGAUGGUGUUUUUGAAUAACAGAAAAAUAUAUAAGGGAUAUAUUGAAAAUAAAAAAAAUAAAGAUAAAUUAGAUAUUUUUUGAAGUUUUAAGAGGUAUAUAGAUAAUUAUUUCUUAAAUAAAAUAGAAUAAAAUCUAAAAGUAUAAGAU